This 72-nucleotide transfer RNA is filed under the name Chloropicon primus. RNAcentral's name for it is "tRNA-Ala". It matches the Rfam family "tRNA". From Rfam's summary of the family: Transfer RNA (tRNA) molecules are approximately 80 nucleotides in length. Lineage: Eukaryota; Viridiplantae; Chlorophyta; Chloropicophyceae; Chloropicales; Chloropicaceae. The record is from RNAcentral.
GGGGUGUAGCUCACAUGGUAGAGCGUUCCCUUAGCAUGGGAAAGGUACGGGGAUCGAUACCCUGCACCUCCA